Long non-coding RNA from Sinocyclocheilus grahami, 803 nucleotides. RefSeq lists it as uncharacterized. The transcript is spliced from 4 exons. NCBI's taxonomy places the organism in Eukaryota, Metazoa, Chordata, Actinopteri, Cypriniformes, Cyprinidae. The record is from RefSeq and is a predicted model, not a curated record.
UAUUGUAAGUGUUGGAGUGGGCUAGUAAUGCAUUCGGGGGUAAUCUUAAUUUCUAAGUAGUAAUAUAUGUGGUAAGGUGGGUGAUGUAAUCUUUCCUCAUUGACAUGUGGUUGUCAUCCACAAUAGCCUAUUAGAACCUGUCUUUCCGGGUAUUUAAGGCUGGAGUUAUGCCACCUGGUGUACGUCACUGCUGGGACCGCACCUAUGGAGUGCGAGUGUAUAGAUGCGCGUGGAAUGGCCAUUUGAUGCGUUGUGUUGGGUUACAGGCUGUCCACUAAAUGUCAGCUGUGAAAUUCUUCGGUGAAGGUGUCUUCCUGCAUGAGCUUCUAUGCUUGUUAUGAGUUGAGAGCAAUGGCACAAUUCGUGCGGCACAACGAUCUGUUUUGUGCACUGAGGUUUUUCUCUGACGCUGCGCUGGUUAGUCGCGGGAGAAGGCGGAAGUGUCUACACUCAGCGUUAAAAGAGCACUGUAGGGCCCGAGGCUGGGAGGCUAGCUGGUAGGGAGUACUGGUGAUGGUACAAUCGUGUGGAGUGCAGUGUUGUUUGGAUUCACGUUUUACUCUGUGUGAGUGUGUGUGCGUGGGAUGCACUAGCGUACAGAUAGGAUCUUCACUUCAGCUAGCCUGCCUUUGCUGCUGGAAAGCCUGUGCCUGUUUAUUGGGUUGUUUUCCUUUGAGUAUGCUUAAAUUGUUUCUUUAUCUGGUGAAGUAUACAGAGUUGCCGAUAUACGAUGUUUAAUUGUGAUCAGACACGUGACAUUGAUGCCCUUGAGUGUUUUUAUAAUUUGUUGUGACAAUUUGAAU